UCUUACGACGGAACUCUUCGGAGGGAAGAUGUAAAAGACUGAGUGGCGGACGGGUGAGUAACGCGUGGGUAACCUGCCCUAUACAGGGGGACAACAGUUGGAAACGACUGCUAAUACCGCAUAAGCGCACAGUACCGCAUGGUACAGAGCGAAAAACUCCGGUGGUAUAGGAUGGGCCCGCGUCUGAUUAGCUAGUUGGAGGUGUAACGGACCACCAAGGCGACGAUCAGUAGCCGGCUUGAGAGAGUGAACGGCCACAUUGGGACUGAGACACGGCCCAAACUCC
This 286-nucleotide ribosomal RNA is filed under the name uncultured Lachnospiraceae bacterium. Its description in RNAcentral is "partial 16S ribosomal RNA". It matches the Rfam family "Bacterial small subunit ribosomal RNA", at positions 62 to 339 of the family's 1533-position model. The record is from RNAcentral. Lineage: Bacteria; Bacillati; Bacillota; Clostridia; Lachnospirales; Lachnospiraceae.